This is a long non-coding RNA of Hyaena hyaena (striped hyena), 477 nucleotides long. RefSeq lists it as uncharacterized. The record is from RefSeq and is a predicted model, not a curated record. NCBI's taxonomy places the organism in Eukaryota, Metazoa, Chordata, Mammalia, Carnivora, Hyaenidae. The transcript is spliced from 4 exons.
CGGCCCCAGGCUGCCGCCCCACUUGGCCCUCCGCUGGGUCGGGGCCUGGCGGCGAGCGGCCUUCCCAGGCGCGGCUGCCCGGAGGACCACGGGCCUGCCUCCCGAGACCUCGGCUUCGCACUGUGCUGUUUCAGUCGUGCGUUCCGGCCGCGCGGCCGCUCCCGGUGCCAGCAAGAGCGCGUCUCCCCAGGGGAACUCACUGGAAAGGCCGCCCAGCGAGCGCGGACCCCGGCGGUGCCGAGAAUCCUGCUCCUGGAGGCUGCCCUUCUAUCCGUCUCUAUUUAUCUACUCUAGGACCAGUUGUGAACGACAGAGAACAAGCUUGAUUCUGGAUAUGUGAUAUUUAAUUCCUUUCCAGAGAAGAAAUUAAUAAUUCUUCUUAGGCAACCUGUAUUCAUUCUGGGUCAGUGGAACCAGUGCCAGCCAUGGUGUCAGGAAGGACAAGUGCACAGCCCUUCAUGCCUACCUCACCUGGAC